Molecule: long non-coding RNA, 2036 nt
Filed under: Dasypus novemcinctus (nine-banded armadillo)
Lineage: Eukaryota; Metazoa; Chordata; Mammalia; Cingulata; Dasypodidae
Description: lncRNA (ENSDNOG00000051078.1)
Source: RNAcentral
CACCGCAGCAUGGUGGGGAGGAAAGGCUUGGGUUUUGCGCGUGCGCAGAGUUGCCUCGCUGUAUCUUUGCGCUCUCGCAGUCUUAACUGGAAAGCCGCACGAGUCCCAGGAAGCGACUUGUGUAGGUUCACAGAGUGAAGUUUGCGCGGCUGGGGUAAGACCGUGGGGAAGCAGCCGGAGGGGAUAGGCUUGUUUCUGGGGGGCGAAAAUGGGAAGUCAGUGGGAAACCCCGCACCGCCAGCGGCCUCCCGGGGCGCAGGGGAUACCGAGUCUUCGUCAGGAGAAGGUUCUCGCUGUGAGCCGAGUGUGCGAAAACCUUGUUCUCUUCCAGGUUGCCGCGCGUCCGGGUAGAAGCCCGAGCCGGAGGAGGGAGAUCAGUGUGUUUCUAACCUUGGAGAGCUUCAGGGCAGAGACUGAAGAGCACAGAAAGGAGCAGGUUCUGAUUUUCUUGGCCAGCAGUGUUUCUUGAUUCCCCUGCCCAGAAUGAACCGGAAUUGUUGUCACCUCCAGAAGCCACCACGGACUCUGACAGUGGGAGGUUUGGGCCAGCUUGGAGAAGAGUGCAGUGAGCUGUGGAGGUCCGGUGUCAGGCUACUCAGGAAACGUAUUUAAUAGGAGAACUUGGUGGAAAAGGUUUGGAGUAAGAGAAAACCAGCCGGAGGUUAGGAAAUUCUGUUUCCACCCAUCCUUAAAGGGUUCCUGUUGCCUUUGUUCUCCACUCUAUGCAAAUUAUGUACUGCUGUGACUUAUGUCCAUUGCCUCAUGUGAUGCUAUUGACAUUAUCCUAAUCUCAGGGAACCUUAGAAUGAUGGUUACUGAAGGGUUUUCAUUGUUUUCUACUUUGGGCUCUUGAAAGCUUUAAAGAUAUUGGGCCUAAUGAGUUUAGUAACUUGUCUAGGGAUAUCCAGUUUGUUUGUGACAGGGCCAGGAGGAGAAUACAGUGCACUUCCCUCUGACUGAUAAUUCAACAGGAAUGUCUUAUGAGAAAGUCCUUUUGGUGUUAAUAAUUGGGUGGUAUAUUCGGGGAGGGGGUGGGGGGAGAGAAGCCUAAUGUAAACUAUGGAUGAUAGUUAAUAGUACUAUUUGAAUAACCCUUCUUCAAUCGUAACAAUGGUACAAUUUGUUUUAUAAACAAAGUUCAGUUAUAAAAAAGUAUUAUCAGUUCCACACCAAUGCAAGGUGUUGGUGGUGGUGUGAUGUGUGGGAAUCCUAUAUUUUAUGCAUGAGUGUUCUGUAAACCCACAACAAGAAUUCUCUAAUAAAAAAAUUAUAUGUCAAAAAAUGCCUUUUGAGAAACUGUUUCACAGAACAAAUAAUUAAAAAUCCUUGCCUUAAAGCAUCCCCAUUUCUUUUACUCUGCUUUCUGUGGACUCUCAAUUUCAAUGGGUAAACAUUGCUGAGAAAAUAGGUAAAUGAUGUACCCCCAGGAAAGAAUAGUGCCUUAUCCUUUGGUGCACUGUAAUUUCUUUGUGUUUAUAUGUUAAAAGGUGUUUUAGUUUGCUAAAGGCUGCCAGUGCAAUAUACCAGAAAUUAUUUGGCUUCUACAAGUGAUUUUUUAAAGUUAUAAGCCGGCAGUUCUGAGGCUGGGAAAAAUAUCUAAAUUAAGGCAUCUGAUGCUCUCUCCCUCCAGGUCAGUUACUGGCAAUCUUGGACUCCUGCCACAUGGCAAGGCACAAUAGGGGCUCUGGUGGUAGUGCCUUCUCCCCCAGGCUCACUUUCUUCCUGAGCUCAGCUGUGGACUUAAAAGCAUAUGGCAUUGUCCGCUUGCUUCUCCCUUCUGCUCCAGGCUCAUUGCUUCAGCUUCUCUGUUCCUCUGUCUAUGGCUUAUCUUUCUCCUGGGUUCCUUGAUUUCAGCUCCUAAAGGCUUCUCUUUUUCACUGCGGUUUUAUUCCUGUGUCUGCAGCUAUUUAUUCCUCCAUUUAAAAAGGACUCCAGUAUGGGGUUUAAGACCCACCCUAGGUCAUGUCCUACUGAAGUGAUCUCUCAUCAAAAAGAAUUUCCCUUAACUGAAUCUAAUCAAAAAGUCCCAUCUACAA